AGAGUUUGAUCAUGGCUCAGGAUGAACGCUGGCGGUCUGCUUAACACAUGCAAGUCGAACGGAAUCCUUAGGGAUUUAGUGGCGGACGGGUGAGUAACACGUAAGAACCUGCCUCUAGGACGGGGACAACAGUUGGAAACGACUGCUAAACCCGGAUGAGCCGAAAGGUAAAAGAUUAAUCGCCUAGAGAGGGGCUUGCGUCUGAUUAGCUAGUUGGUGAGGUAAGAGCCCACCAAGGCGACGAUCAGUAGCUGGUCUGAGAGGAUGAUCAGCCACACUGGGACUGAGACACGGCCCAGACUCCUACGGGAGGCAGCAGUGGGGAAUUUUCCGCAAUGGGCGAAAGCCUGACGGAGCAAGACCGCGUGGGGGAGGAAGGUUCUUGGAUUGUCAACCCCCUUUCUCAGGGAAGAACACAAUGACGGUACCUGAGGAAAAAGCAUCGGCUAACUCCGUGCCAGCAGCCGCGGUAAUACGGGGGAUGCAAGCGUUAUCCGGAAUGAUUGGGCGUAAAGAGUCCGUAGGUAGUCAUCCAAGUCUGCUGUUAAAGAGCGAGGCUUAACUUCGUAAAGGCAGUGGAAACUGGAAGACUAGAGUGUAGUAGGGGCAGAGGGAAUUCCUGGUGUAGCGGUGAAAUGCGUAGAGAUCAGGAAGAACACCGGUGGCGAAGGCGCUCUGCUGGGCUAUAACUGACACUGAGGGACGAAAGCUAGGGGAGCGAAUGGGAUUAGAUACCCCAGUAGUCCUAGCGGUAAACGAUGGAAACUAGGUGUGGCCUGUAUCGACCCGGGCCGUGCCGAAGCAAACGCGUUAAGUUUCCCGCCUGGGGAGUACGCACGCAAGUGUGAAACUCAAAGGAAUUGACGGGGGCCCGCACAAGCGGUGGAGUAUGUGGUUUAAUUCGAUGCAACGCGAAGAACCUUACCAGGACUUGACAUCUCUGGAAUCUCCUUGAAAGGGGAGAGUGCCGUAAGGAACCAGAAGACAGGUGCUGCAUGGCUGUCGUCAGCUCGUGUCGUGAGAUGUUGGGUUAAGUCCCGCAACGAGCGCAACCCUCGUCGUUAGUUGCCAUCAUUAAGUUGGGAACUCUAGCGAGACUGCCGGUGACAAACCGGAGGAAGGUGAGGAUGACGUCAAGUCAGCAUGGCCCUUACGUCCUGGGCGACACACGUACUACAAUGCGAGGGACACAGAGCAGCCAACCCGCGAGGGAGAGCGAAUCUCACAAACCCUGGCACAGUUCAGAUUGCAGGCUGCAACUCGCCUGCAUGAAGGAGGAAUCGCUAGUAAUCGCAGGUCAGCAUACUGCGGUGAAUCCGUUCCCGGGCCUUGUACACACCGCCCGUCACACCAUGGAAGUGAGCCACGCCCGAAGUCAUUACUCUAACCCUUUCGGGGGAGGAGGGUGCCGAAGGCGGGGUUGAUGACUGGGGUGAAGUCGUAACAAGGUAACC
Molecule: ribosomal RNA, 1454 nt
Filed under: uncultured bacterium
Lineage: Bacteria
Description: bacterial SSU rRNA
Rfam family: Bacterial small subunit ribosomal RNA
Source: RNAcentral